RNAcentral lists this ribosomal RNA (897 nucleotides) under Megasporoporiella sp. CL-2016a. RNAcentral describes it as "eukaryotic LSU rRNA". It matches the Rfam family "Eukaryotic large subunit ribosomal RNA", at positions 64 to 947 of the family's 3401-position model. Lineage: Eukaryota; Fungi; Basidiomycota; Agaricomycetes; Polyporales; Polyporaceae. The record is from RNAcentral.
ACUAACAAGGGAUUCCCCUAGUAACUGCGAGUGAAGCGGGGAAAAGCUCAAAUUUAAAAUCUGGCGGCUUUGUCGUCCGAGUUGUAAUCUGGAGAAGUGCUUUCCGCGCUGGACCGUGUACAAGUCUCUUGGAACAGAGCGUCAUAGAGGGUGAGAAUCCCGUCUUUGACACGGACUACCAGUGCUUUGUGAUGCGCUUUCAAAAGAGUCGAGUUGUUUGGGAAUGCAGCUCAAAAUGGGUGGUGAAUUCCAUCUAAAGCUAAAUAUUGGCGAGAGACCGAUAGCGAACAAGUACCGUGAGGGAAAGAUGAAAAGCACUUUGGAAAGAGAGUUAAACAGUACGUGAAAUUGCUGAAAGGGAAACGCUUGAAGUCAGUCGCGUUGUUCAGAACUCAACCUUGCUCUCGCUUGGUGCACUUUCUGAAUGACGGGCCAGCAUCGAUUUUGACCGUCGGAAAAGGGCUGGAGUAAUGUGGCACCUCCGGGUGUGUUAUAGACUUCAGUCGCACACGACGGUUGGGAUCGAGGACCGCAGCGCGCCGUAAGGCAGGGGUUCGCCCACUUUCGCGCUUAGGAUGCUGGCAUAAUGGCUUUAAACGACCCGUCUUGAAACACGGACCAAGGAGUCUAACAUGCCUGCGAGUGUUUGGGUGGAAAACCCGAGCGCGUAAUGAAAGUGAAAGUUGAGACCUCUGUCGUGGAGGGCAUCGACGCCCGGACCUGACGUUCUCUGAAGGAUCCGCGGUAGAGCAUGUAUGUUGGGACCCGAAAGAUGGUGAACUAUGCCUGAAUAGGGUGAAGCCAGAGGAAACUCUGGUGGAGGCUCGUAGCGAUUCUGACGUGCAAAUCGAUCGUCAAAUUUGGGUAUAGGGGCGAAAGACUAAUCCAACCAUCUAG